CCUACGGGGGGUAGCAGUGGGGAAUAUUGGACAAUGGGCGAAAGCCUGAUCCAGCCAUGCCGCGUGUGUGAAGAAGGCCUUCGGGUUGUAAAGCACUUUCAGUGGGGAAGAAAGCCUUGGGGCUAAUACCCUCGAGGAAGGACAUCACCCACAGAAGAAGCACCGGCUAACUCCGUGCCAGCAGCCGCGGUAAUACGGAGGGUGCGAGCGUUAAUCGGAAUUACUGGGCGUAAAGCGCGCGUAGGCGGUCUGAUAAGCCGGUUGUGAAAGCCCCGGGCUCAACCUGGGAACGGCAUCCGGAACUGUCAGGCUAGAGUGCAGGAGAGGAAGGUAGAAUUCCCGGUGUAGCGGUGAAAUGCGUAGAGAUCGGGAGGAAUACCAGUGGCGAAGGCGGCCUUCUGGACUGACACUGACGCUGAGGUGCGAAAGCGUGGGUAGCAAACAGGAUUAGAUACCCGGGUAGUC
Molecule: ribosomal RNA, 465 nt
Filed under: Vreelandella stevensii
Lineage: Bacteria; Pseudomonadati; Pseudomonadota; Gammaproteobacteria; Oceanospirillales; Halomonadaceae
Description: partial 16S ribosomal RNA
Rfam family: Bacterial small subunit ribosomal RNA
Source: RNAcentral